This is a non-coding RNA of Peptococcaceae bacterium BRH_c23, 64 nucleotides long. Lineage: Bacteria; Bacillati; Bacillota; Clostridia; Eubacteriales; Peptococcaceae. The record is from Rfam.
CCCUUGGAGUGUUAUAUCAAACGAAAGUAGCCUUCGGGCAAAAUCGGACACGAUGAAUAGGGAA